This 253-nucleotide ribosomal RNA is filed under the name uncultured bacterium. Its description in RNAcentral is "partial 16S ribosomal RNA". It matches the Rfam family "Bacterial small subunit ribosomal RNA", at positions 524 to 776 of the family's 1533-position model. The record is from RNAcentral.
UACGUAGGGGGCAAGCGUUGUCCGGAAUCAUUGGGCGUAAAGCGCGCGUAGGUGGCUUCGUAAGUCCGUUGUGAAAGUCAAAGGCUCAACCUUUGAAAGCCGAUGGAUACUGCGGAGCUAGAGUACGGAAGAGGCGAGUGGAAUUCCUGGUGUAGCGGUGGAAUGCGCAGAUAUCGGGAAGAACACCCGUGGCGAAGGCGGCUCUCUGGGACGGUACUGACGCUGAGACGCGAAAGCGUGGGGAGCGAACAGG